CCUACGGGAGGCAGCAGUGGGGAAUAUUGGGCAAUGGGCGAAAGCCUGACCCAGCAACGCCGCGUGAAGGAAGAAGGCUUUCGGGUUGUAAACUUCUUUUGACAGGGAAGAGCAGAAGACGGUACCUGUCGAAUCAGCCACGGCUCACUACGUGCCAGCAGCCGCGGUAAUACGUAGGUGGCAAGCGUGUUCCGGAUUUACUGGGGGUAAAGGGCGUGUAGCCGGGCUGACAAGUCAGAUGUGAAAUCCGGGGGCUCAACCCCCGAACUGCAUUUGAAACUGUUGGGCUUGAGUAUCGGGGAGGCAGGCCGAAUUCCUAGUGUAGCCGUUAAAUGCGUAGAUAUUAGGAGGAACACCAGUGGCGAAGGCGGCCUGCUGGACGACAACUGACGGUGAGGCGCGAAAGCGCGGGGAGCAAACAGGAUUAGAUACCCGAGUAGUC
This 442-nucleotide ribosomal RNA is filed under the name uncultured bacterium. RNAcentral's name for it is "partial 16S ribosomal RNA". It matches the Rfam family "Bacterial small subunit ribosomal RNA", at positions 338 to 795 of the family's 1533-position model. The record is from RNAcentral.